AGCAUAGCACCUGCAAGAAGAAGAGACAAAUAGAGAUGAGAACACAACAUGUCCUAUGAAUCAGUUAAACACAAUGAUGCUCAGCCAAAGGAUUGAGAAUCAUAUCGAAAGCACACAUAGAAACUCAAUGUAACAUAGAAACAUAGAAAGAAAGAGAUCUAUGUAAGAACACAAGUAUAUACUAGUAACCUAGUUAUUGUGAUUAUCAUAGAAACUCAAUGUAACAUGUUAAUAUAGAUCAGAAUGAAAGUGUCCUUCAUAUGCUCAUAUCAUUCUCCUCCUUUAUCAUAGAAACGACUUGCAACCUGCAUGUCAGUUCACGUGAACAUUGCAUAC
Molecule: long non-coding RNA, 336 nt
Filed under: Brassica napus (rape)
Lineage: Eukaryota; Viridiplantae; Streptophyta; Magnoliopsida; Brassicales; Brassicaceae
Description: long non-coding RNA (BNAP_LNC016015)
Source: RNAcentral